UCAACAGACUUUCUGCUGAAUGAACUAAAGAAUACUUUGUAGCAAUCGAAAGUAUGCAGCACACCUCCCGGAUUGUGAUGGCGGAUUGGUCUGCAACAAGUUAUUUGCUUUUCUUCUUCCUUCCGUUAAGGUUUUGCUAUUGUAUGGAUAUUCUUAACAGCAUGAGAAAACUAUCAUUUGAUUAGCAUUCACUUAUGAUAUCUUUGCGGUAAGAAGAGAGUAGAGCAGCAACAAUCUACCUUGUCCAAAAAGCAGCAGCGAAGUGAAGUAGUCAAGACGAAAUUUUAAUUCACAAUUGUGGUGUCUCAUGAAAGCACAAAUGAUGUCUUUUAGUCCUGACAAAAAAUGAAGUCUUGAGCUAUUCCAACAGUUAAGUAAUGGACACCGAUACAGCGAGGAGGCAACAACCGGCAACAGCAAGAAUCGGCAACAGCGAGCAGCCGGCAAAAGCGAGGACCGGCAACAGCAAGCAACCGGCAACAGCGAGGAGCUUUAAAUUAGAACUGAUUGAUUGGAAAGACAUAUUUGAAACGGCAUUAAGUACCUCGGGAGGAAGAAUCUCAGCACUUCCUUUAGGUGAAGCUUGAAAUGAAGGGGAAAUAGAAUUUUGUUCUUUCUAAAAUACGUUAUGCUAAUUAUUUCUAAAAUACACUAGUAUACCAUACAUUAUGUACAUGCAUUAUUAAUACAUACAUUAUUAAUAUAUAUAUAUAGGAUAUAUUAUUAAUAGCUUCCCAAGUUAUCUCUAAUCUUUAAAUGCAGUUCAUAACUCACCACACAGUUUUUAACGUAUACUUGUGAACGUCUGAAAAACAAAAUGAGAUCCCGAACCAAAGCUGUGUGUUUAGUACAAGACAAGGGUGGAGUUUGCCACAAAUUGUCCUUAAAAUAUUGGAUCAUCGUUUAUUUCUUAACUAAAACUGCACCACAUCUAAAAUUUUUA
Molecule: long non-coding RNA, 943 nt
Organism: Stegodyphus dumicola
Lineage: Eukaryota; Metazoa; Arthropoda; Arachnida; Araneae; Eresidae
Source: RefSeq, a predicted model, not a curated record